GCCUGGGUAGCUCAGGGGUAGAGCAGUGGAUUGAAAAUCCUCGUGUCGGUGGUUCAAAUCCGCCCCUGGGCA
This 72-nucleotide transfer RNA is filed under the name Marinosulfonomonas sp. PRT-SC04. It matches the Rfam family "tRNA". Rfam says of the family: Transfer RNA (tRNA) molecules are approximately 80 nucleotides in length. Their secondary structure includes four short double-helical elements and three loops (D, anti-codon, and T loops). The record is from Rfam by way of RNAcentral. Lineage: Bacteria; Pseudomonadati; Pseudomonadota; Alphaproteobacteria; Rhodobacterales; Paracoccaceae.